UUGUUCUAGGCUUUCUUUCUUAACCUGCAUAUUCAGAGCACGCCUAGCAAUAUGCAUCUCACAAUGUGCAGCAAGCAACACAUUAUUAACCAACACAUCUGAAUCAUCACAGUCAUUAUUGCCAUUAAGAGUUCUUUGACCUAUUCUUGUAGAAGUGGAAGCUUGUGAGACAUUCAAACUCUCCAUAGUUUCAGUUAACCUCUCAAGAGUCUUAUUAAGCCUUUGUAACUCACCACUGACUGACUUCUUAAAGAGCUUAUAAUCGUUACCCAUAUUCGAUUCACUUCCAUCAGUACGAUCCACCACAUUCUUGUCUUUACUCAUCCUACCUUAAAUCAACAAAGAACAAAAAGGACUAGCAAAUAUUGUGUUAAAAAAGAAAGUACUCAAUUGUUUGCACUCUUACCAUUCUUUUGCUGAUUCUUCAAUUGCACUUCAGAAACUAAGGUCAACCAACUAACCACAAGGUGCGUUUAAUGAAACAAAGAAGAAAUCCUAAAGAAAGAAGGAAGCGCGCAAAAACUAGAAAGAAGACACUGACAAUUUGGAAAGUAACACAUGAACUAGGUUCUGUGCUACUUGAAAAAUAUCACCUAGAGUAUAGACACAAGCAAACAAUACUCCAGCAAUGUCAAGGAAGCAAAAGCAAGCUUAAACAAAAAAAAGAAACUUAGAAAUCAAAUAA
Molecule: long non-coding RNA, 685 nt
Filed under: Manihot esculenta (cassava)
Lineage: Eukaryota; Viridiplantae; Streptophyta; Magnoliopsida; Malpighiales; Euphorbiaceae
Description: long non-coding RNA (MESC_LNC013076)
Source: RNAcentral